GUAGUUGGACCUUGGGGUGGGCCGACCGGUCCGCCUUGCGGUGUGCACCGGUCGUCCUGCUCCUUCUGCCGGCGAUACGCUCCUGGCCUUAACUGGCCGGGUCGUGCCACCGGCGCUGUUACUUUGAAGAAAUUAGAGUGCUCAAAGCAGGCCUACGCUCUGGAUACAUUAGCAUGGGAUAACAUCAUAGGAUUCCGGUCCUAUUGUGUUGGCCUUCGGGAUCGGAGUAAUGAUUAACAGGGACAGUCGGGGGGGCAUUCGUAUUUCAUAGUCAGAGGUGAAAUUCUUGGAUUUAUGAAAAGGACGAACAACUGCGAAAGCAUUUGCCAAGGAUGUUUUCAUUAAUCAAGAACGAAAGUUGGGGGCUCGAAGACGAUCAGAUACC
RNAcentral lists this ribosomal RNA (385 nucleotides) under Lophophora williamsii (peyote). Its description in RNAcentral is "SSU rRNA". It matches the Rfam family "Eukaryotic small subunit ribosomal RNA", at positions 630 to 1016 of the family's 1831-position model. Lineage: Eukaryota; Viridiplantae; Streptophyta; Magnoliopsida; Caryophyllales; Cactaceae. The record is from RNAcentral.